UUCGUCAGUGUCAUUGUGGGUUUUGAGCCUGGUCAGUACCUGGAUGGGAGACCUCCUGGGAAAACUAGGUUGCUGUUGGAA
Ribosomal RNA from Sinocyclocheilus rhinocerous, 81 nucleotides. The record is from Ensembl. NCBI's taxonomy places the organism in Eukaryota, Metazoa, Chordata, Actinopteri, Cypriniformes, Cyprinidae.